CGGGCCAAGUCCCCUGGAACGGGGCGUCCUAGAGGGUGAGAAUCCCGUACUCACCCGGGUGCCCUUCGCCUUUGUGAAGCCCCUUCGAAGAGUCGAGUUGUUUGGGAAUGCAGCUCCAAGCGGGAGGUAAAUUCCUUCUAAAGCUAAAUACCGGCCAGAGACCGAUAGCGCACAAGUAGAGUGAUCGAAAGAUGAAAAGCACUUUGGAAAGAGAGUUAAAAAGUACGUGAAAUUGUUGAAAGGGAAGCUCUUGCCGCCAGACUUGCCACGGUGGUUCAGCCGCCCUCACGGGUGCGGUGUACUCCUCCGCCGGCAGGCCAGCGUCGGUUCAGGCGGCCGGAUAAAGGCCCCGGGAAUGUGGCACCCUUCGGGGUGUGUUAUAGCCCGGGGUGUAAUGCGGUCAGCCUGGUCCGAGGGACGCGUUCGCGAGGACGCUGGCGUAAUGGUUGCAAGCGACCCGUCUUGAAACACGGACCAAGGAGUCUAACAUCUAUGCGAGUGUUUGGGUGUCAAGCCCACGCGCGUAAUGAAAGUGAACGGAGGUGGGAACCCCCCGGAGGGGCGCACCAUCGACCGAUCCUGAUGUCUUCGGAUGGAUUUGAGUAAGAGCAUAGCUGUUGGGACCCGAAAGAUGGUGAACUAUUCCCGGAUAGGGUGAAGCCAGAGGAAACUCUGGUGGAGGCUCGCAGCGGUUCUGACGUGCAAAUCGAUCGUCAAAUCUAGGAAUAGGGGCGAAAGACUAAUCGAACC
RNAcentral lists this ribosomal RNA (750 nucleotides) under Lecanactis submollis. RNAcentral's name for it is "LSU rRNA". It matches the Rfam family "Eukaryotic large subunit ribosomal RNA", at positions 177 to 941 of the family's 3401-position model. Lineage: Eukaryota; Fungi; Ascomycota; Arthoniomycetes; Arthoniales; Roccellaceae. The record is from RNAcentral.